AACGUCCGUAGCCUGUCUGAUACAUUCGUGGGUAAAUCAACCAGCUCAACUGGUUGAAUUCUGCGAGGACGGCCAGACUUGGGACCGGGAGAGGUGUGGGGUACGCUCAGGGUAGGGGUAAAAUCCUGUCAUCCUGAGCGGACCACCUGUUGCGAAGGCGCCACACUAGAACGGAUCCGACGGUCAGGGACGAAGCCUAGGGGCACGAACCGGAUUAGAUACCCGGGUAGUCCUAGGUGUAAACGCUGUGGACUUGAUGUUGGGGAUGCUCCGAGCAUUCUCAGUGCCGAAGCGAAGGUGAUAAGUCCACUGCCUGGGGAGUACGGUCGCAAGGCUGAAACUUAAAGGAAUUGGG
Molecule: ribosomal RNA, 355 nt
Filed under: uncultured archaeon
Lineage: Archaea
Description: bacterial SSU rRNA
Rfam family: Archaeal small subunit ribosomal RNA
Source: RNAcentral